Molecule: ribosomal RNA, 484 nt
Filed under: uncultured bacterium
Lineage: Bacteria
Description: partial 16S ribosomal RNA
Rfam family: Bacterial small subunit ribosomal RNA
Source: RNAcentral
AGUGAACGCUGGCGGCAGGCCUAACACAUGCAAGUCGAGCGGCAGCGCGGGGGCAACCCUGGCGGCGAGCGGCGGACGGGGGAGGAAUUCGUCGGAAUCUGCCUUUUUGGGGGGGAGAACGUAGUGAAACUUACGCUAAUACCGCAUACGUCCUACGGGAGAAAGUGGGGGACGGCAAGGCCUCACGCAGAAAGAUGAGCCGACGACCGAUUAGCUAGUUGGUGGGGUAAAGGCCUACCAAGGCGAGGAUCGGUAGGUGGUCUGAGAGGGUGAGAAGCCACCCUAGGACUGGGCCAGGGCCAAGACUCCUAAGGGACGCCGCAGUGGGCAAUAUUGGACAAUGGGCGCAAGCCUGAUCCAGCCAUCCCGAGUGUGUGACGACGGCCUUCCGGUUGUAAAGAACUUUUGUCCGGAAAGAACUCCCUGGGGCUAAUACCUUCGGGGGAUGACGGUACCGGAAGAAUAAGCACCGGCUAACUUCGUG